RNAcentral lists this long non-coding RNA (458 nucleotides) under Brassica napus (rape). Its description in RNAcentral is "long non-coding RNA (BNAP_LNC001247)". Lineage: Eukaryota; Viridiplantae; Streptophyta; Magnoliopsida; Brassicales; Brassicaceae. The record is from RNAcentral.
UCUUUGGGAACACAACCUAUGGAGAUCUGAGGAAGUAUUUAUCUGGCUUUUUCGACACUACAAUCGGGUAUAUAAAAAGAGUCCAUCACUUCCAUUUUCAAUAGAAGAUGAUGAUCCAAAGUCUCAAACGUUUCUUGGCUGCAGAAACAAGAAAGAGAGCAGGAGUUACAAGGAGAUUACAGAAACUCUUGGAGUGGAUGAUCCUUCAGAGAUUCUUUUUGUGACAGAUGUUUAUCAAGAAGCUACUGCUGCAAAAGCCGCAGGUAAUAAACACAUGCACAAAACUCUUACCUCUAGAUAAUAUUUUACCUGUGGAACUGGUUAGAGAUUCUGAUGACCUUUUGCGGUUGUGAAAAGGUCUGGAGGCGAUUAUAUCGAUUCGACCUGGAAACGCUUCCCUACCAGAGAAUCACGGGUUCAAGACUGUCACAUCAUUCUCACAAAUUUAGAGAUUCCUC